UAAGAAUAAAUAUUAAUAAAAUGAUUACAUAGUUGGUGAAAAGGUAAUUGGGCGGCAAGGCUAGAGAAAGGAUCAGCAGAUGCCGGCAACCCAGGUAGCAACCAUCUGGCUGCAUUAUUACGCCAAUAAAUUUGCGGAGAAGCAACCAGAUAAGUCAAACCUUCACCUUCCUCCAUGUCCAACAAAAGCACCAUUGUAUGAAAUGUACAAGGAUGACAUGGAGGAGCACGGAGAGCAGAUAAUAUAAGUAAAAUAUAAGACCUUUGAUGAAUUUAGAGUAAUACUUAGGAAAAUUGAACGAAAACAUAUAGUAGAUAACCCAUCAUUGAAAACCAACACUAAAAACAUAUGUAAGAAAUCAACAAAAACUGAAGGUGAGGAAACAGAGCCAGAUUUGAAAGUACUUAUACAGCAGAUAAACACUAGAUUAGAAAA
Molecule: long non-coding RNA, 435 nt
Filed under: Mytilus galloprovincialis (Mediterranean mussel)
Lineage: Eukaryota; Metazoa; Mollusca; Bivalvia; Mytilida; Mytilidae
Source: RNAcentral